AGCGAACGCUGGCGGCGUGCUUAACACAUGCAAGUCGAACGUGAAAUGGAGCAAUCCAAAGUAAAGUGGCGUACGGGUGAGUAACGCGUAGGUAAUCUACCUCAAAAUCCGGAAUAACCUGCCGAAAGGCGGGCUAAUACUAGAUAGAGCGACGAAAUCCGUAAUAGGAUUUUUCGGGAAAGGGAGGGAGCAAUCCCCUUCGUUUUGAGAUGAGCCUGCGUCUCAUUAGCUAGUUGGUGGGGUAAUGGCCUACCAAGGCUUUGAUGGGUAGCUGGUCUGAGAGGAUGAUCAGCCACACUGGAACUGAAACACGGUCCAGACUCCUACGGGAGGCAGCAGUGGGGAAUCUUGCGCAAUGGACGAAAGUCUGACGCAGCAACGCCGCGUGAGUGAAGAAGGCCUUCGGGUUGUAAAGCUCUGUCGCCCGGGACGAAAAGCAUAAGGGUUAAUAGCCCUGAUGCCUGACGGUACCGGGAGAGGAAGCACCGGCUAACUCCGUGCCAGCAGCCGCCGUAACAC
Molecule: ribosomal RNA, 519 nt
Filed under: uncultured bacterium
Lineage: Bacteria
Description: bacterial SSU rRNA
Rfam family: Bacterial small subunit ribosomal RNA
Source: RNAcentral